This 313-nucleotide signal recognition particle RNA is filed under the name Methanospirillum sp. RNAcentral's name for it is "signal recognition particle sRNA". It matches the Rfam family "Archaeal signal recognition particle RNA". Lineage: Archaea; Methanobacteriati; Methanobacteriota; Methanomicrobia; Methanomicrobiales; Methanospirillaceae. The record is from RNAcentral.
UUGGGGACUAGCCUGGGUGGAUCGGCGUCACCUAUAACCAGAAAUCGUCGGAAUGCUGGAGGCGAAGUUUGAGGAAGGCCGGUACAUGUUAUCUGUAUCUGCCGUGUUCCUGACGAAGAAACCCUGUCCUGUGAGGUCGAUGGCCAGGUAUCAGACCUUCGGAGGGAGGAACGACCUGUUAUCGCGGGGACCAGUCCAGGCCCGGAAGGGAGCAGACUUACCGUGAACAUCCGGCGCCCAUGGGGGUGCGGGGUGGAGAAGGGAACCUCUGGAAAGGAUGAUAAUGGCAGGUCAACCGAUAACGUGUCCCCAA